This 2928-nucleotide ribosomal RNA is filed under the name Salmonella enterica subsp. enterica serovar Enteritidis. Its description in RNAcentral is "23S ribosomal RNA". It matches the Rfam family "Bacterial large subunit ribosomal RNA". Lineage: Bacteria; Pseudomonadati; Pseudomonadota; Gammaproteobacteria; Enterobacterales; Enterobacteriaceae. The record is from RNAcentral.
GGGUUGUGAGGUUAAGCGACUAAGCGUACACGGUGGAUGCCCUGGCAGUCAGAGGCGAUGAAGGGCGUGCUAAUCUGCGAUAAGCGCCGGUAAGGUGAUAUGAACCGUUAUAACCGGCGAUACCCGAAUGGGGAAACCCAGUGUGAUUCGUCACACUAUCAUUAACUGAAUCCAUAGGUUAAUGAGGCGAACCGGGGGAACUGAAACAUCUAAGUACCCCGAGGAAAAGAAAUCAACCGAGAUUCCCCCAGUAGCGGCGAGCGAACGGGGAGGAGCCCAGAGCCUGAAUCAGCAUGUGUGUUAGUGGAAGCGUCUGGAAAGGCGCGCGAUACAGGGUGACAGCCCCGUACACAAAAGCGCAUGUGCUGUGAGCUCGAUGAGUAGGGCGGGACACGUGGUAUCCUGUCUGAAUAUGGGGGGACCAUCCUCCAAGGCUAAAUACUCCUGACUGACCGAUAGUGAACCAGUACCGUGAGGGAAAGGCGAAAAGAACCCCGGCGAGGGGAGUGAAAAAGAACCUGAAACCGUGUACGUACAAGCAGUGGGAGCACAGGUUUACCUGUGUGACUGCGUACCUUUUGUAUAAUGGGUCAGCGACUUAUAUUCUGUAGCAAGGUUAACCGAAUAGGGGAGCCGGAGGGAAACCGAGUCUUAAUUGGGCGUUAAGUUGCAGGGUAUAGACCCGAAACCCGGUGAUCUAGCCAUGGGCAGGUUGAAGGUUGGGUAACACUAACUGGAGGACCGAACCGACUAAUGUUGAAAAAUUAGCGGAUGACCUGUGGCUGGGGGUGAAAGGCCAAUCAAACCGGGAGAUAGCUGGUUCUCCCCGAAAGCUAUUUAGGUAGCGCCUCGUGAAUUCAUCUCCGGGGGUAGAGCACUGUUUCGGCUAGGGGGCCAUCCCGGCUUACCAACCCGAUGCAAACUGCGAAUACCGGAGAAUGUUAUCACGGGAGACACACGGCGGGUGCUAACGUCCGUCGUGAAGAGGGAAACAACCCAGACCGCCAGCUAAGGUCCCAAAGUCAUGGUUAAGUGGGAAACGAUGUGGGAAGGCCCAGACAGCCAGGAUGUUGGCUUAGAAGCAGCCAUCAUUUAAAGAAAGCGUAAUAGCUCACUGGUCGAGUCGGCCUGCGCGGAAGAUGUAACGGGGCUAAACCAUGCACCGAAGCUGCGGCAGCGACACUGUGUGUUGUUGGGUAGGGGAGCGUUCUGUAAGCCUGUGAAGGUGGCCUGUGAGGGUUGCUGGAGGUAUCAGAAGUGCGAAUGCUGACAUAAGUAACGAUAAAGCGGGUGAAAAGCCCGCUCGCCGGAAGACCAAGGGUUCCUGUCCAACGUUAAUCGGGGCAGGGUGAGUCGACCCCUAAGGCGAGGCCGAAAGGCGUAGUCGAUGGGAAACGGGUUAAUAUUCCCGUACUUGGUGUUACUGCGAAGGGGGGACGGAGAAGGCUAUGUUGGCCGGGCGACGGUUGUCCCGGUUUAAGCGUGUAGGUGUGUGUUCCAGGUAAAUCCGGUUCACUUUAACACUGAGGCGUGACGACGAGGCACUACGGUGCUGAAGCAACAAAUGCCCUGCUUCCAGGAAAAGCCUCUAAGCAUCAGGUAACAUCAAAUCGUACCCCAAACCGACACAGGUGGUCAGGUAGAGAAUACCAAGGCGCUUGAGAGAACUCGGGUGAAGGAACUAGGCAAAAUGGUGCCGUAACUUCGGGAGAAGGCACGCUGACACGUAGGUGAAGUGAUUUACUCAUGGAGCUGAAGUCAGUCGAAGAUACCAGCUGGCUGCAACUGUUUAUUAAAAACACAGCACUGUGCAAACACGAAAGUGGACGUAUACGGUGUGACGCCUGCCCGGUGCCGGAAGGUUAAUUGAUGGGGUCAGCGCAAGCGAAGCUCCUGAUCGAAGCCCCGGUAAACGGCGGCCGUAACUAUAACGGUCCUAAGGUAGCGAAAUUCCUUGUCGGGUAAGUUCCGACCUGCACGAAUGGCGUAAUGAUGGCCAGGCUGUCUCCACCCGAGACUCAGUGAAAUUGAACUCGCUGUGAAGAUGCAGUGUACCCGCGGCAAGACGGAAAGACCCCGUGAACCUUUACUAUAGCUUGACACUGAACAUUGAGCCUUGAUGUGUAGGAUAGGUGGGAGGCUUUGAAGCGUGGACGCCAGUCUGCGUGGAGCCGACCUUGAAAUACCACCCUUUAAUGUUUGAUGUUCUAACGUGGACCCGUGAUCCGGGUUGCGGACAGUGUCUGGUGGGUAGUUUGACUGGGGCGGUCUCCUCCUAAAGAGUAACGGAGGAGCACGAAGGUUGGCUAAUCCUGGUCGGACAUCAGGAGGUUAGUGCAAUGGCAUAAGCCAGCUUGACUGCGAGCGUGACGGCGCGAGCAGGUGCGAAAGCAGGUCAUAGUGAUCCGGUGGUUCUGAAUGGAAGGGCCAUCGCUCAACGGAUAAAAGGUACUCCGGGGAUAACAGGCUGAUACCGCCCAAGAGUUCAUAUCGACGGCGGUGUUUGGCACCUCGAUGUCGGCUCAUCACAUCCUGGGGCUGAAGUAGGUCCCAAGGGUAUGGCUGUUCGCCAUUUAAAGUGGUACGCGAGCUGGGUUUAGAACGUCGUGAGACAGUUCGGUCCCUAUCUGCCGUGGGCGCUGGAGAACUGAGGGGGGCUGCUCCUAGUACGAGAGGACCGGAGUGGACGCAUCACUGGUGUUCGGGUUGUCAUGCCAAUGGCACUGCCCGGUAGCUAAAUGCGGAAGAGAUAAGUGCUGAAAGCAUCUAAGCACGAAACUUGCCCCGAGAUGAGUUCUCCCUGAGACUUAGAGUCUCCUGAAGGAACGUUGAAGACGACGACGUUGAUAGGCCGGGUGUGUAAGCGCAGCGAUGCGUUGAGCUAACCGGUACUAAUGAACCGUGAGGCUUAACCUUACAACGCCGAAG